This is a long non-coding RNA of Brienomyrus brachyistius, 793 nucleotides long. RefSeq lists it as uncharacterized. The transcript is spliced from 2 exons. Lineage: Eukaryota; Metazoa; Chordata; Actinopteri; Osteoglossiformes; Mormyridae. The record is from RefSeq and is a predicted model, not a curated record.
GUGAGAAAAUAUGUAGUUCAUUAGAGUAGCAAAAAUGGUCAGAACAGGUGGUUAGAGUGGGCUGGCUUCGGGAGAGAGGUGUUGUGUGUGACACAGACUGUGAAGGAGAGACAGAUGACACGCAAUUUAACAAUGAAACCAUAAUCAAAAAGGUUUGGUCGUGAUAUUGCGCAGAACCUCAGAAUCACAGCAGCAAUCAAAUCAGGGUGUGUUGCAGAAAAGCUCCUGUUACUAACGUACUCCCAGUCAGUUAGCGACUCACAGGGAAUUUGAUGGAGCGGGGAAGGUGGCACGAAAUCCGCUUCGUAGUGCAGAGCGAACACCUGCCAAACCCGCAAGUCCUGCCGCCCCUAAAGGAGCGCAAUUCGCGCGGUUGUUCUACAUCACCGGCAGCCACUUAGCGCGCUUCCAUCGUUACAGCCUAUUUCCAUGCAAGACAGAGGGGCGUGGGUAAUUGUGUAUGUUCUCAACUCAUUUCCAUUUAUAUUUACGUUUAAUACUUACAAAUAAACAUAUUAUUUAUGUUUACAAAUACUAAGUAAUUUUUCAAAUAUUAUACAUAGCAAAAGGUUGUGAUGAUUUUUAACAAUAUUUAUUUAUAGCUAAAUGUACUAAAUGUUGAAAAAGUGGCAAGUAAAAAAGUGCUUAUUGACUUUACGAAAAACAAAAACCACAAGCGAGAUGUAACAGUUUUGUGGGCUUCUUUCCUUGUUUGUAGAUAUACAACAUCUUUUCAGUAUCGACAUUUUCUUUAUUCUGAACACAAGUCUCAAAAUAAAUGAAUAAACCAGCA